Molecule: ribosomal RNA, 253 nt
Filed under: uncultured bacterium
Lineage: Bacteria
Description: partial 16S ribosomal RNA
Rfam family: Bacterial small subunit ribosomal RNA
Source: RNAcentral
UACAGAGACUGCAAGCGUUAUUCGGAUUCACUGGGCGUAAAGGGUGCGCAGGCGGCCAAGUGUGUUAGGCGUGAAAGCCUGGGGCUUAACCCCAGAAUUGCACCUAAAACUACAUGGCUAGAGCAUUGGAGAGGGUAGCGGAAUUCACGGUGUAGCAGUGAAAUGCGUAGAUAUCGUGAGGAACACCAAUGGCGAAGGCAGCUCUCUGGGACGGUACUGACGCUGAGACGCGAAAGCGUGGGGAGCGAACAGG